This is a long non-coding RNA of Pygoscelis adeliae (Adelie penguin), 1164 nucleotides long. RefSeq lists it as uncharacterized. The transcript has 2 exons. Lineage: Eukaryota; Metazoa; Chordata; Aves; Sphenisciformes; Spheniscidae. The record is from RefSeq and is a predicted model, not a curated record.
CUUAGUCCUCGGGGCCGCAGCCGCGCUGUUAGAAGUUAGCGAGAGCGUUCUCCUGCCGGUGCACAGGCCCGGGCCUCGUCCGGAGCAUUUGCCAUCUCGGGUUUAAAUAGAGCCGUAGGAGGGAGUACUUGUGGAAUUUUGCUGUCACAUGUGAAGGAUUCCACUUGCAUUCAGCAGCUGCUGCAGUUUUACUGCCUCUUGUUGGAGAUCACCAAGCCCACGGCAGAACUGGCAUCUCCCCAUCUGUUUCAUGGCAAAGGAUGACAUCUUCGUUCAGCUCCCCCCGCCCGGCAUUAGUGUUUUAAACUGAGAUACUGACUUUGCAUUUGAAGCAGCUGACGAAUGAACACCUCCUCUUCUGCUGGCCCUGCUAUAGCGAUGGUUACUUCUGUCGGACAAGUAAAGCAGACGGCCAGAGUCAACAGUAUCUUAUAGUGAGGUUUGAUGUGUUUUUACAGGAAAAAUAAAAAUCUCUAGUUUAAAUACUGGUUUAUAAUGCCCUCCCUAGGAUGUACUGUGUACUGUUUCUGCUCUCCCCCUUCCUUCCCUGGUUCUGUUCUUCAGCAUACCUCCUUUCCUCAGACUGUCCUUUUUCAUGCUGCUGUUUCUUUCGCGCUUCUCUGUCAUUGGCACCUGGGCAUAUUCUUAUGUGUUUCUUCUUGCCUAGGCAAGUUCUUGCUCUUUCAUGUGAGUUAGGUCACUCCGUUUCUGUCCUCAGCGCUCCUGGAUGAUGGCAAGAACGAGCCCAGAGCAUGGUAGGGCAUUUCUUCUCUCUUGCCCAAUUUAAAAAAAAAAAUUUGCAACUUUUGUUCAGCACAGAGGGACUUUUCGGUGACCUUGCUCUUAGCCUCUUAACAACGUAUGGCUUGAGUUUUCUAACACUAAAUGCUACUGGGGCAAUAAAAAUGCACUCUUAACCUUAGAUGGAUACCCAGCAAAGUUCAAAUUACUGUUCAAAAGCACUGGAACUUCCUAAUUAAACAUUUCUAGUCUGUCUUCUUUCAGCAAAAUAAUAUGCUUCUUGCGUCUUGUCCUCAUAGAUCGCACUCAUUUCACUUUGACUUGAAGCAAGGAUGUAACAGUAAAAGUUUUGCCGUCUACUCCCCCCACAUGUCCAUACUGUCACAAAGUAUUAAAGGGGGAAAUUUGGAUAUCCUUUAUGAG